AAAUGUGCUGCUCUCUCACCAGGCCCGUGACUCCCAGGCUGCUCAGCUUGACAUCUAGGAGCAAGGAUCUCUCAGUUGCUGCCUGAACUGCAGGAGAGCUGGUUGGAUCUCCGGAGGAACAGAGUCGCGUGCAGCAGUAAGGCAUACCGCCAGGCCUAGGAGCUCCAGAGUCAGAGUACAGAUUGGCUGCAAAAAGAACCCAGGUGGAACACAGAUGUAAAGAUCUUGGAGGCAAAGACCUCCCUGCCAGGAAAGGACAAGGGACAUCAGGAGCAGGGUGGUACUGACGGAAGAGAAGAUCCUGCCUCUACAUCCAGAGUUAUCCAACAUGGCUGCCCCAGCCAGCAGAAGGAGACACAGAGGCAGAAUGAAGAACAAAUUUCUGAGCUACAGGUGGAGAUGGACAGGCCAGUGACAUUGCUGGAGGAUAGGAGGCAAGAACUGCAAAGAAAGGGCUCGGGCUGUGAUGGCAGCAGGUUCAGCAAGGUAGUCCGGAUGUCCCUCUCACCAGCAACUCUGGCAGGAUUCUGAGGGGUUCCCAGGCCAGAUGUGUUCUGGGUCUGUCCUGGGGUCUCCUACCAGUUGGACAUUCCCAGAAGACCUCCAAAGGCAGACGCCCUGGAGGCAUCCUAAUAAGAUGCCCGAAUCACCUCAACUGGCUCCUUUCGAUGUAAAGGAGCAUUGGUUCAACUCUACACCCUAUCUCUAAGGACUCACCAGAGGACGUCAUUUUCAUCCAAGCAGAUGGGUCAGCAGACAGAAGAAGAUAGACAGGAAGAGAGAUGAAGAGAGACAAUGCAGGCAAUGCAGUAGUGUCCCCUGAAGGCUGGAAGUGCUGAUCCUGCGCAGUGGAGUGAAGAAUGUCCACACUGGAGAAACAGAGCAGCUGCAGCAGAAGAGCUACAGCAAUCUCUUAAAGGCUCUCCUCCAGGCCCGCAGAUCAGUGUGCCCAAGGCGUCCAGCUGUAGAGUAUGCACCACGCAGCGGUGUGUUAGCUGAGUAGAGGUGUCCAGACUCAACCGUCUUAAAGCAGCUGUCUGGCAGAGCUGUUGGACCUUCAGGAAGCAGGGAGCAGCUGCAGGCAGAGGUCUUGUUAGGGACCAGUGUAGUCAGUAGGAGAUAACACCUCUGGAGUCGAGGGUUACCACACAGGAUGACCUGGAGGCUGCUCACAGCCAAACCACUAAAGACAGCAAAGUACCAGCUGGGAAGUGUACUCAUGUUACAGUUAGAAGCCAUUCCCUGAAUACAGUAGUUUAAAGUCACAGGCAUACACUCUCACACACUCUAUUCAUUAUGUCCUCUCACUUUUUCCUCAGCAGUGCAGUGAAUGAGCUACUCUGUCAGGCAGAGAUGGAUCUGUUGAAAACAUGGGUAUCUCUGUAGAGAGGGUCUGUGAAGACAGCAGCAAGUAGCUGGAACCCCACAGCCCUAUAGCAGAACUUCACUGUCUCACUGUGACCCAGCGUGGCAUCCCCUCAGCCCAGCUGCUUGGAGCUCGAAUGAAUUAAGACCACUGCAAAGACUUGGGUGUAGGAAAACAGUGCAGUUGGUCUCUUUACCUGAUUGAGGAGGCACUGGUCUGACAGAAGGAGAGGACUUUGUUGUCAGCAGGUGGGCAUCUGUGGACUCAGCAUUUGCCAGCAGAAGUCACAAAAACUCAGCAGCUCCAGAGCUUUAAGUGCAAAGCUACAGAUACUCAAUAGGUGGAUCAUUCAGGUUGAAGCCCUCUUGUGAGAUCAGGUGUUUAACUGGACAGCUAAAGUGAGAUGGCGGCAUCUUAACCAGCACCUUGCCAAAGGUUUCAUGUUCACUCAGCCACUGGAGCUGCUGAACACGAAAAUUUACCUGCAGGAGGACGUGAAAGCUCAGCAAAUUGAAGUCAUAGGACUUGAAGCUGAGCUUGAUGAGAACGGCAUCCAAAAGAUGAUACAGAACCCUGUCAUCCCAUACUUUUGGUUGUGCCCAUCCAUUAUUUCCUUUGACUUUUCAGAGGGCAUCAGCAAAAAUAUUCUGAGCUUCUACAGCAGCAGUGAAGUGGAUCUCCUGUCGCUGGAUUGUAGUAGAUGGACUAUUCUAUCUGAAGCUGCAUGAUAUUCUGAUCACCGGAGAGGGCGGAAGAAGGCAGACAUCAACAAAGGCCACAACCUGCUUCUGUCACUGUGUCCCUCUCUCCCCAUCUCCCUGUUCACAUCAGGACAAACUACUGCACUUCGCUCCAUACACAAGCUUCUACAAAGUUCAUCAGAAAUGAGACAAACUGUUAAUGCUGGCUGGACAAUGCACACUCUGGAUUUGAUCGAUUUGCCUCAACGGGGUCUUUAAGGACCAUACCAUUUGUACAUUGACUGUUGACUACAAAUUUUGUAUUUUAAAUAAAAUUAUGUUAC
Molecule: long non-coding RNA, 2390 nt
Organism: Monopterus albus (swamp eel)
Lineage: Eukaryota; Metazoa; Chordata; Actinopteri; Synbranchiformes; Synbranchidae
Exons: 16
Source: RefSeq, a predicted model, not a curated record